RNAcentral lists this ribosomal RNA (409 nucleotides) under Acidobacteriota bacterium. RNAcentral describes it as "Acidobacteria bacterium partial 16S ribosomal RNA". It matches the Rfam family "Bacterial small subunit ribosomal RNA", at positions 355 to 776 of the family's 1533-position model. The record is from RNAcentral. Lineage: Bacteria; Pseudomonadati; Acidobacteriota.
UGGGGAAUAUUGCGCAAUGGGCGAAAGCCUGACGCAGCGACGCCGCGUGGGGGAUGACGGCCUUCGGGUUGUAAACCUCUUUCAGCAGGGACGAAGCGGAAGUGACGGUACCUGCAGAAGAAGCACCGGCCAACUACGUGCCAGCAGCCGCGGUAAUACGUAGGGUGCAAGCGUUGUCCGGAAUUAUUGGGCGUAAAGAGCUCGUAGGCGGUCUGUCGCGUCGGCUGUGAAAUCCCGAGGCUCAACCUCGGGUCUGCAGUCGAUACGGGCAAACUGGAGUGUUGCAGGGGAGACUGGAAUUCCUGGUGUAGCGGUGAAAUGCGCAGAUAUCAGGAGGAACACCGGUGGCGAAGGCGGGUCUCUGGGCAACAACUGACGCUGAGGAGCGAAAGCGUGGGGAGCGAACAGG